GGGCGUGGUGCGCCCCCUGUUGGGCCUGGAAAGCGUCCUGCACCAACCUAGAAGCCAAAAUGGGGCGCCGGAGGGCAGGGUGCAUGCACGGGGGCACAUGCGCGGGGGACACACGUGCAUGUAUGGUGGGGCGCUCGCAUCACAUUUUGGGGGUUCUGGCAUGCGUGUGUGCAUUCGUGCGCAUACACUUUGGGUGCUCGGCACCAAAAAGGUUAACCAUCAUUGGCCUAUAGACAUGGGGGGGGGGUGGAGUAUCCCUCUUUUAUUGGAUAUCUUCAAGCAGAUGCUGUGUAACCAUGUCAAGGAUGCUUUGGAUUCCUGCGCUGAACAGAUUAGACUCGAGUUUGAGCGACUCCUUCCAAUUCUAUAUUUUAUGACCUAUUUUCAUUCUGAGGGUCACUUUGGUGUAAAGAUUAAGAACUCAGAAAUGAAGAGACGAGUUUGAAUCCUGCCUAUUAGGCAUCAAGCCAGUUAAGACGACUUUGAAGCAGUCGCUCUCUCCCAGUCCUAGGGAGAAAGCAAGGGCAAAGCACCUCUGAAAAUCGUGCCAAAAAACCCUUCCAGCUUUGGAAGCCAUAUGAGGCCGGAAGCUUCCGUGCUGCCACCUGCCAGUUUCCAGGAGACAAAACUGACCUGAAGGUGUUUGACUUUUGGAAAAGGGUUUUCCUUUUGCGGAAUUUUGCCCUGUGUCUAUGUUACAGUUUGAAACUUACACCAUUUUCUUAGAGCACAUAAACUUUCUUUCAUUGAUUAUCAUUUUUUAGUAUUAAAAAGGAAGAAUAUUAAAUAAAAUAUAUGUAAGCUUUCAUGGUGAGAUGGCCAAAAUGUUCAUAACAUAAAUCUUAAUUCUGAAUCCAGUAGGGGGCACCAAAGGAAUGCGACAAAUUUUUAAUUUUUGCCUACUUUACCAUCCAUCUAGUUAUGAAAUUGUAUAUACAUUUUAUGACAUGUUUACCUUUAUAGUUUUAAUAUGAUUUUACAUAUUGUUUUAACUUUUGUCUGGGUGCCACCCAGAGUUGAUUAGAACCUGGGCAGCUAUAUAAAUGUUUUAAAUAAAUAAAUUAAGAGCAUAAAACUUUAUGUAAGGACCAAUUAGAAAACUACAAAAAGGUUAUAAAACUGUAGCAACCUAUUUAAAACGGGCAGGCUGCACAAAACAGCUUUUCUGAUUCAAACAACACCUAUUGAUUGGAUGAUGCUGUUGUUUGAAUAUCUGAGGCAAAUUUACUAUGGUGAUUCUCUGAUACAAUGCGGUCAUUUCCACAAACCUGAAGCAGGUUUUUUUUUUCUUCCUAUAAAAGCUUUUUUUAAAAACCAACAUCACUGAGCCCCAAACUAACCAGUCAAAUUUCAGCCUCCUAUGCUGUGGCAAUCCAGUCUCUUAAGUUUAUGUAAACUACUUUUCCUAAUUUCAAAAUACUUUACAAAAGCCUACAGGUUCCCUAUGUUUUUGUGUGUUUGUGUGUGUAUGUGUGAUUGCACGCAUGGAUACAUUCAAGUUUGGGAUGUUAUGUAACUAACAAUAAUAUUAGUUUUAUUCUAAUUUUUAAAAAGUGAAAACAUUGCAGUGUGAAAAACAAUGGUGAGUCUUUAGUGUCCAGAAAUGAGUGAAUUAUUCACUGAUGACAUAGAUGUCAGGAGCAAUGCUUGUACCUCCAUUUCAAUCACAACUCAACCAGCAGCUUAAUUCUGAGUAUUUUAUUAGCCUUCCACCUCUGCCCCCCUUCCUAUUCCAUUCUUUGGAAUACAAAAGCAUAAAACCCCAACUUCCAGAUGCAAGCAACCAUAACCCCAACCUAUUCAUGGUAGAUAUUUACAGUGGAAUGGCUCUUGGGUGGCUGGAUAGUUUACUCUUUGCCUUUCUGGGAAUUCUUAAUGUAUGGUCCCAACAUAUCUGAUGGACAGAGUUGGCCUAUAUUGUCAUGCUUUUAGUUUCUGUGGUGAAGUUGGCAAUUAUGAGUUUCACAUUGAACAUAACACGAAAUACCAACACAUGAGAAGCAUGGAUUUGAGUGCAAAAAAGCAUGAAGAUUACAACAAGGAAAUUCUCAGCACUGUGGGAUCUUGUAAACCCUUAAAAUAAUUAAGGCUCCACAACCUCACUAACUAAGUUUGAUGACAGAUGAAGAAUAUAAAAUGAAGAAUAUGAAAUAAUGGAAUUCUUCAAAUAGGAUGCUGUUUAAAACCUAGUGGGAGCAACAGCAAAACCUAUAACUUCUCUAGGAAAGGUAUCCCACUGAUAAGAAAAGGUCUCAAAUAAUAUUUUCCACACCAAGUCAUCCAGGAAUUGAUUAAAUUAUAUAGAAAAAAGCCACCAAAAGUCAGAACUGAUUUAAUUAUCCACUGGACUGUCUAAGCUUCCUUAUGAAACUGACAAGCUAUAGAAAUGCAGCAGGAAACUUCUGACAAUGAUAGGAUUAGAAAGAUUUUGCUGUCUUGUUCUAAAUUACAACAAAUGUAAUCUUGUAGAGUACCAAAAAAGACAGACGUAAUCAACCAAAUGUAAAGACUAACCUUGUGAAAGAAAUUGCAUAGAUUGACAUGUAAACAACAAAGUAACAUUUUGCAAGAAGAUCUGAGCUAAUUUUUAUUUAGGGCGGUUGAUUUGGACCUCUGUCCCAAGUGUGAGACUCUUUAUUUCUGCAGAAAUAAACAACUGAAAGAUGCCUUUCUCAUUCCAGCAUGACUUAUUGAUCAUUUGUGCCAGGAAAACAGAAUCCAGUUGAAGCUCUGGCUAACAAAGUUGAAGUGUAACCCAUUCAGAAGACAACAAACGGAGGAAGGCUGUUAUACAGAUCACAAACCCCGGUUGAUGAGAACAGCAUGGCGUGCAAGACAACACCACCGAUUACAAUAGUUACAGCAGCAGCUCUAGCUGGAUGAUCAGUCGGUGUGAUUGGAGGGGUUUCAAGAAGUUGUCUCAUCUUCAUUCACAUCAGGCAGUUCUGG
Molecule: long non-coding RNA, 2949 nt
Organism: Ahaetulla prasina
Lineage: Eukaryota; Metazoa; Chordata; Lepidosauria; Squamata; Colubridae
Exons: 3
Source: RefSeq, a predicted model, not a curated record